Columba livia (rock pigeon) is the source of this 1054-nucleotide long non-coding RNA. RefSeq lists it as uncharacterized. The record is from RefSeq and is a predicted model, not a curated record. The transcript has 3 exons. NCBI's taxonomy places the organism in Eukaryota, Metazoa, Chordata, Aves, Columbiformes, Columbidae.
AGCGCGGUGAUUGGGCGGUGCCGCGAAGGGCGCCCCGGCGGCGGCGGCCACGUGGGGCACCGGGACCGGGCACCGGGACCGGGCACCGGGACCGGGCACCGGGACCGGGCACCGGGACCGGGCACCGGGACCGGGCACCGGGACCGGGCACCGCGUCGCUGCCGUCCCCGCCGCACCGGGACCUCCCGCAGGAGCCGGCGCUGCUCGGUGCGGCGGGGCCGCUGCCGGUAACGGGCGGUUCGGAGCGGGCGGAGCCGCUGCAGCGACCCCCGGCCCGCACCCCAAAUUGUGGCGGUUUUAAACUAUUUUUAACUGUUUGUUUCCCAUCGCGCUCCCCAAUGAAACGGCCCCGGUAGCACCGGGACCCCGGCGCCCGGUUCCCUCGGGGCUGGCACGGCCGGACCCAAACCCGCAGGAAUUAAAAAGCAAUACAAAUAACUAACUAAGCAAACGGGCAGAACGAAGGUGCGGCUGAAUAAUUACGGGCAGGUGGAACCUCCUGCGCUUGUGCCCGUUGCUGGUCAUUCUGUCACCGGGUCCUGUCACCUCGCCCGGACCCGUCCCAGCCGCUCCAGCCGGGGCAGCAAAGCAGAUGGAAGUCGCUUGGGUUGAAAUGGGGUGAAAUUCGCUCUCGUACAGCUCAGCCGGCUGGACUCGAUGAUCCUGAGGGUCUGUUCCAACCAAAAUGAUUGUAAUCCGCAGCGGGGAGGAGCCUGGCAGAGCUGCAGGUCCCUGUAAAAGAGAAAUCAAUGAGCGAACAUCAACCCAGCGCAGCACCGCGUCCUCUUUGGCUCCACGUUUUGGCACACGCGUGUUUUCCCCACACGUUUUCACUUGAACGUGAAUAAUUAUAACCCUAAAGCACAAAUUUAGCUCUUCUGUAAUAAAAGGAAAACCCUGAAAGAGCCCAAGAGUAAAGACCCCGGCAUUUGGGGCAGCAAACAAUGUCUGUCCAGACGCUGCAUUCCACUUACGCUAUGUAAAAUUUUAGCCUGAAUUCUGGUAUUUUGGGGAGUAAAGCAGAUUUACAAGCGCUUGCCCAGCUCAUUCCGCA